Molecule: ribosomal RNA, 309 nt
Filed under: Triticum aestivum (bread wheat)
Lineage: Eukaryota; Viridiplantae; Streptophyta; Magnoliopsida; Poales; Poaceae
Description: partial small subunit ribosomal RNA
Source: RNAcentral
AUGACGCCGUUGUCAACAGCACGGUGCAGCGAGGUAGGAAGCCGUGUGCAAGGGAUGAAACUGGCAGCGGUGCGCCAUGACAGGCCCCAGCAGAAUUUUGUAUAUGAGGCUUUGCUGUCUGGAUCUAUAUAUAUAUAUAUGUACAUUUUGCAGGUCAAUGCCCUUACUUACCUUAAAGUUGAAGGUAAAUCUUCAGAAACAACUAUUUUUAGGGUUGGUUCAGUCCGAAACCAAUCUGAAUUUUGUAACAAGGUUCAACAUUGCUCUCUAAAUCUAGAUAUUGUGCAGACCAGUGUCAUUAUUAAGUAG